RNAcentral lists this unclassified non-coding RNA (208 nucleotides) under plant metagenome. RNAcentral describes it as "partial contains small subunit ribosomal RNA, internal transcribed spacer 1, and 5.8S ribosomal RNA". The record is from RNAcentral.
GUAGGUGAACCUGCGGAAGGAUCAUUCAUAAUAAGUGUUUUAUGGCACUUUUUUAAAUCCAUAUCCACCUUGUGUGCAAUGUCAGGGUUGAUUUUUCUCUCGAGAGGAUCAACCCCAAACAUCAACUAUAUCUCAACUCUUUGUCUGAAAAAUAUUAUGAAUAAAACAAUUCAAAAUACAACUUUCAACAACGGAUCUCUUGGCUCUC